GGUUAAGCGACUAAGCGUACACGGUGGAUGCCCUGGCAGUCAGAGGCGAUGAAGGGCGUGCUAAUCUGCGAUAAGCGCCGGUAAGGUGAUAUGAACCGUUAUAACCGGCGAUACCCGAAUGGGGAAACCCAGUGUGACUCGUCACACUAUCAUUAACUGAAUCCAUAGGUUAAUGAGGCGAACCGGGGGAACUGAAACAUCUAAGUACCCCGAGGAAAAGAAAUCAACCGAGAUUCCCCCAGUAGCGGCGAGCGAACGGGGAGGAGCCCAGAGCCUGAAUCAGCAUGUGUGUUAGUGGAAGCGUCUGGAAAGGCGCGCGAUACAGGGUGACAGCCCCGUACACAAAAGCGCAUGUGCUGUGAGCUCGAUGAGUAGGGCGGGACACGUGGUAUCCUGUCUGAAUAUGGGGGGACCAUCCUCCAAGGCUAAAUACUCCUGACUGACCGAUAGUGAACCAGUACCGUGAGGGAAAGGCGAAAAGAACCCCGGCGAGGGGAGUGAAAAAGAACCUGAAACCGUGUACGUACAAGCAGUGGGAGCACAGGUUUACCUGUGUGACUGCGUACCUUUUGUAUAAUGGGUCAGCGACUUAUAUUCUGUAGCAAGGUUAACCGCAUAGGGGAGCCGGAGGGAAACCGAGUCUUAAUUGGGCGUUAAGUUGCAGGGUAUAGACCCGAAACCCGGUGAUCUAGCCAUGGGCAGGUUGAAGGUUGGGUAACACUAACUGGAGGACCGAACCGACUAAUGUUGAAAAAUUAGCGGAUGACCUGUGGCUGGGGGUGAAAGGCCAAUCAAACCGGGAGAUAGCUGGUUCUCCCCGAAAGCUAUUUAGGUAGCGCCUCGUGAAUUCAUCUCCGGGGGUAGAGCACUGUUUCGGCUAGGGGGCCAUCCCGGCUUACCAACCCGAUGCAAACUGCGAAUACCGGAGAAUGUUAUCACGGGAGACACACGGCGGGUGCUAACGUCCGUCGUGAAGAGGGAAACAACCCAGACCGCCAGCUAAGGUCCCAAAGUCAUGGUUAAGUGGGAAACGAUGUGGGAAGGCCCAGACAGCCAGGAUGUUGGCUUAGAAGCAGCCAUCAUUUAAAGAAAGCGUAAUAGCUCACUGGUCGAGUCGGCCUGCGCGGAAGAUGUAACGGGGCUAAACCAUGCACCGAAGCUGCGGCAGCGAACGUAUCACUUAAAGCGAUUCAGCGGGUUACGAUUGACGGAGCGAAGCGACGUCAAAGCGUAUACAAAGUCGAGUCGGUUUAAGGAUACGUUCGUUGGGUAGGGGAGCGUUCUGUAAGCCUGCGAAGGUGGCCUGUGAGGGUUGCUGGAGGUAUCAGAGGUGCGAAUGCUGACAUAAGUAACGAUAAAGCGGGUGAAAAGCCCGCUCGCCGGAAGACCAAGGGUUCCUGUCCAACGUUAAUCGGGGCAGGGUGAGUCGACCCCUAAGGCGAGGCCGAAAGGCGUAGUCGAUGGGAAACGGGUUAAUAUUCCCGUACUUGGUGUUACUGCGAAGGGGGGACGGAGAAGGCUAUGUUGGCCGGGCGACGGUUGUCCCGGUUUAAGCGUGUAGGUGUGUGUUCCAGGUAAAUCCGGUUCACUUUAACACUGAGGCGUGAUGACGAGGCACUACGGUGCUGAAGCAACAAAUGCCCUGCUUCCAGGAAAAGCCUCUAAGCAUCAGGUAACAUCAAAUCGUACCCCAAACCGACACAGGUGGUCAGGUAGAGAAUACCAAGGCGCUUGAGAGAACUCGGGUGAAGGAACUAGGC
RNAcentral lists this ribosomal RNA (1760 nucleotides) under Salmonella enterica subsp. enterica serovar Agona str. SA-3. RNAcentral's name for it is "bacterial LSU rRNA". It matches the Rfam family "Bacterial large subunit ribosomal RNA", at positions 1 to 1718 of the family's 2925-position model. Lineage: Bacteria; Pseudomonadati; Pseudomonadota; Gammaproteobacteria; Enterobacterales; Enterobacteriaceae. The record is from RNAcentral.